AUAAUCAAACUUAUCCGAGCUAACUAUUCUAAAGUAUUGAAAUAUAUGCCAUGAAGGUUGGCCAAUGGGUAGAGUAGGAAACUACGCUGCCUCCCGCUAUUUGGAAAGGAUGGGGUUAACACU
RNAcentral lists this non-coding RNA (123 nucleotides) under Acetoanaerobium sticklandii. RNAcentral describes it as "Clostridium sticklandii MoCo sequence". It matches the Rfam family "Molybdenum/Tungsten riboswitch aptamer (Moco RNA motif)". The record is from RNAcentral. RNAcentral also lists the same sequence under 1 other name. Lineage: Bacteria; Bacillati; Bacillota; Clostridia; Peptostreptococcales; Filifactoraceae.